AGUAUUACUCACUUGCUUAGAAGCUUUCAUUUGCAAUGCGUUUCACAAAAUAAUAAUGUACAAAUCAAAAAUACAGUAUUUCACAUUUCACUUUUCCAGUAAUGUUGUUAAGUGCCCACUAUGCAACUUCGGUUAUUUCUUCGCUGUUUUCUUGGUUUUGGCACGCACAUUUCUCUACACAACGCCCCCUACAGCUUCGUAGUAGAUAUUUCACAACACUGUCGUAACAACUCGUUGACGACCCUUCCCCAUGCACUUCUAUGCGAGCCAUGUGCAUUUGUUUUCAAAGAAGCCGGCGAAUGCGUGGAGCCAUGUCCGAAGUAGAUGUUCAUAAAGUGUAGGCAAGGUUAUACAUUUUUAAAAGGGUGUAUUUGUAUUGCAAUAAACAUAAAUCCAUCCUUUUUUAUAGUUGACGGGGAGAAUUUAUAUCCUAGAUUAUAAUUGUUUUAUCUUAGGUUGAACAGAACAAUCAGUGUAAGAGGUUUGGCCAACAUAAUAAUCUAAAUAAACAAGAACCUGGAUUCGGGGAUUCAGUCUGUGUCUGGGGGACGAGACAGACGAACAGCAAAACACCAAUGGAAACAAAGGUGUUUAUAUGGUUGCAACCAAGCAAGCUAGAAACAUACAGGGCUCA
Long non-coding RNA from Gadus macrocephalus (Pacific cod), 634 nucleotides. RefSeq lists it as uncharacterized. The transcript has 2 exons. NCBI's taxonomy places the organism in Eukaryota, Metazoa, Chordata, Actinopteri, Gadiformes, Gadidae. The record is from RefSeq and is a predicted model, not a curated record.